Molecule: ribosomal RNA, 328 nt
Filed under: uncultured eukaryote
Lineage: Eukaryota
Description: partial 18S ribosomal RNA
Rfam family: Eukaryotic small subunit ribosomal RNA
Source: RNAcentral
CCCUUAGAUGUCCUGGGCCGCACGCGCGUUACACUGAUGCAUUCAACGAGCUUAUAACCUUGGCCGAGAGGCCUGGGCAAUCUUGUUAACGUGCUUCGUGAUAGGGAUAGAUUAUUGAAAUUAUUAAUCUUGAACGAGGAAUUCCUAGUAAACGCAGAUCAUCAAUCUGCAUUGAUUACGUCCCUGCCCUUUGUACACACCGCCCGUCGCACCUACCGAUUGGAUGGUCCGGUGAAGCCUCGGGAUUGUGGUUCUUGCCGCUUUAUUGUGGCGUGACCGCGAGAACUUGUCUAAACCUUAUCAUCUAGAGGAAGGUGAAGUCGUAACA